UCAAGGUAAUUUCAAAGACCCUUUGCUCGGCUAAUACUAAAAUAAUCAUUUAGUACCUAAUAAAAUGAGCGGAAAGAAAGUCGAUGGGAAAUCGGGUAGCGUCAUGGGCUGGAUAAGCACAGCUUGCCAUUUUGCAGCGGACAGAAAUGACUUUAGAAGGAAUCUCCUUGUAAACCUGGGUUUAUUUGCUGCGGGUGUUUGGGUCGCAAGAAACCUCUCAGAUUUCGACCUAAUGUCUCCUCAGCCAAUUACGUAGCUCCCGAUCAACAACGACAAAAA
Long non-coding RNA from Rhinichthys klamathensis goyatoka, 279 nucleotides. RefSeq lists it as uncharacterized. NCBI's taxonomy places the organism in Eukaryota, Metazoa, Chordata, Actinopteri, Cypriniformes, Leuciscidae. The transcript has 2 exons. The record is from RefSeq and is a predicted model, not a curated record.